GGGCCCGCACAAGCGGUGGAGUAUGUGGUUUAAUUCGAUGCAACGCGAAGAACCUUACCAGGGUUUGACAUCCUGCGAAUCUCUUGGAAACGAGAGAGUGCCUUCGGGAACGCAGUGACAGGUGGUGCAUGGUUGUCGUCAGCUCGUGCCGUGAGGUGUCAGGUUAAGUCCCGCAACGAGCGCAACCCUUAUCCUUGUUUGCCAGCACGUAAUGGUGGGAACUCCAGGGAGACUGCCGGUGAUAAACCGGAGGAAGGUGGGGACGACGUCAAGUCAUCAUGGCCCUUACGAGUAGGGCUACACACGUGCUACAAUGGCGCAUACAGAGGGCAGCAAGCUAGCGAUAGUGAG
This 351-nucleotide ribosomal RNA is filed under the name uncultured bacterium. RNAcentral describes it as "bacterial SSU rRNA". It matches the Rfam family "Bacterial small subunit ribosomal RNA", at positions 917 to 1267 of the family's 1533-position model. The record is from RNAcentral.